GACGAACGCUGGCGGCGUGCUUAACACAUGCAAGUCGAACGGAAAGGCCCUGCUUUUGUGGGGUGCUCGAGUGGCGAACGGGUGAGUAACAAGUGAGUAACCUGCCCUUGACUUUGGGAUAACUUCAGGAAACUGGGGCUAAUACCGGAUAGGAGCUCCUGCUGCAUGGUGGGGGUUGGAAAGUUUCGGCGGUUGGGGAGGGACUCGCGGCUUAUCAGCUUGUUGGUGGGGUAGUGGCUUACCAAGGCUUUGACGGGUACCCGGCCUGAGAGGGUGACCGGCCACAUUGGGACUGAGAUACGGCCCAGACUCCUACGGGAGGCAGCAGUGGGGAAUAUUGCACAAUGGGCGGAAGCCUGAUGCAGCAACGCCGCGUGCGGGAUGACGGCCUUCGGGUUGUAAACCGCUUUCGCCUGUGACGAAGCGUGAGUGACGGUAAUGUGUAAAGAAGCACCGGCUAACUACGUG
RNAcentral lists this ribosomal RNA (468 nucleotides) under uncultured bacterium. RNAcentral describes it as "partial 16S ribosomal RNA". It matches the Rfam family "Bacterial small subunit ribosomal RNA", at positions 28 to 507 of the family's 1533-position model. The record is from RNAcentral.